GCCCUUGUGAUGCAAUGGUUAAUCACUCAGCUGCUAACUGAAAGAUUGGUGGUUCGGACCCACCCAGCGGCU
Molecule: transfer RNA, 72 nt
Filed under: Loxodonta africana (African savanna elephant)
Lineage: Eukaryota; Metazoa; Chordata; Mammalia; Proboscidea; Elephantidae
Rfam family: tRNA
About the family: Transfer RNA (tRNA) molecules are approximately 80 nucleotides in length. Their secondary structure includes four short double-helical elements and three loops (D, anti-codon, and T loops).
Source: Rfam by way of RNAcentral